AUGUCGGACGAGCAAUGGAGCCUCGUUGGACCGAUCACGGCCACGGCGGCGGCGAGGUGGAAGGAGCUCCACGGCGAGCGGUCGUGGGAGGGGCUGCUGCGGCCGCUGGACCUGGAGCUCCGGCGCACGGUGAUCUGGUACGGCGAGAUGGCGCAGGCCACGUACGACGCGUUCAACUACGAGAAGCACUCGCCGCACGCCGGCCACUCGCGCUUCGGCAGCAAGCGCUUCUUCGAGCACGUGAUGCUGCCGGGCCACGCCGCCGCGUACCGGAUCACCAGGUUCCUGUAUGCCAAGGAGUCCAACUGGAUCGGGUACGUCGCGGUGGCCACGGACGCGGGGAAGGCCACGCUCGGGCGCCGGGACGUGGUCGUCGUGUGGCGCGGCACCAUCCAGGCGCUGGAGUGGAUCAAAGACCUCGAGUUCGCCAUGGUGCAUCCCAAGGGCAUCCUCGGCGAAGUCACCGGCGCCGAGGCCAUGGUGGACCGCGGCUGGUUCUCCAUCUACACCUCCACCGACCAGGCCUCCACCCACAACAAGGUCAGCGCGAGAAAGCAGGUGAGGAAGCUGGUGGACACGUACAAGGACGAGGAGGUGAGCAUCACAGUGACGGGGGGGCGGCGCUGGCCACGCUGA
RNAcentral lists this ribosomal RNA (636 nucleotides) under Triticum aestivum (bread wheat). RNAcentral's name for it is "partial small subunit ribosomal RNA". The record is from RNAcentral. Lineage: Eukaryota; Viridiplantae; Streptophyta; Magnoliopsida; Poales; Poaceae.